RNAcentral lists this ribosomal RNA (253 nucleotides) under uncultured bacterium. RNAcentral's name for it is "partial 16S ribosomal RNA". It matches the Rfam family "Bacterial small subunit ribosomal RNA", at positions 524 to 776 of the family's 1533-position model. The record is from RNAcentral.
UACGUAGGGGGCUAGCGUUGUCCGGAUUUAUUGGGCGUAAAGAGCGUGUAGGCGGCCAGGUAGGUCUGCUGUGAAAACUCGAGGCUCAACCUCGAGACGUCGGCGGAAACCAUCUGGCUAGAGUCCGGAAGAGGAGAGUGGAAUUCCUGGUGUAGCGGUGAAAUGCGCAGAUAUCAGGAAGAACACCGGUGGCGAAGGCGGAUCUCUGGGCCUUACCUGACGCUGAGGCGCGAAAGCUAGGGGAGCAAACAGG